ACUCCUACGGGAGGCAGCAGUAGGAAUAUUGGACAAUGGGCGCAAGCCUGAUCCAGCCAUGCCGCGUGAGUGAAGAAGGCCCUCGGGUUGUAAAGCUCUUUUGUUGGGGAAGAAAAGCCUUGGGUUAAUACCCCGGGGUCCGUGACGGUCCCGAAAGAAUCAAAGCACCGGCUAACUUCGUGCCAGCAGCCGCGGUAAUACGAAGGGUGCAAGCGUUACUCGGAAUUACUGGGCGUAAAGCGUGCGUAGGUGGUUCGUUAAGUCUGAUGUGAAAGCCCUGGGCUCAACCUGGGAAUUGCAUUGGAUACUGGCGGGCUAGAGUGCGGUAGAGGGUAGUGGAAUUCCCGGUGUAGCAGUGAAAUGCGUAGAGAUCGGGAGGAACAUCUGUGGCGAAGGCGACUGCCUGGACCAGCACUGACACUGAGGCACGAAAGCGUGGGGAGCAAACAGGAUUAGAUACCCUGGUAGGCACUGCU
RNAcentral lists this ribosomal RNA (476 nucleotides) under uncultured bacterium. RNAcentral's name for it is "bacterial SSU rRNA". It matches the Rfam family "Bacterial small subunit ribosomal RNA", at positions 335 to 801 of the family's 1533-position model. The record is from RNAcentral.